GAGUUUGAUCCUGGCUCAGGACGAACGCUGGCGGCGUGCUUAACACAUGCAAGUCGAACGAUGAAGUUAUGACGGAGGCUUCGGCCGACUGAAUGAUGGAUUAGUGGCGGACGGGUGAGUAACGCGUGGGUAACCUACCCUGUACAGGGGGAUAACAGUCAGAAAUGACUGCUAAUACCGCAUAAGACCACAGCACCGCAUGGUGCAGGGGUAAAAACUCCGGUGGUAUAAGAUGGACCCGCGUUGGAUUAGCUUGUUGGUAGGGUAACGGCCUACCAAGGCGACGAUCCAUAGCCGGCCUGAGAGGGUGAACGGCCACAUUGGGACUGAGACACGGCCCAGACUCCUACGGGAGGCAGCAGUGGGGAAUAUUGCACAAUGGGGGAAACCCUGAUGCAGCGACGCCGCGUGAAGGAAGAAGUAUCUCGGUAUGUAAACUUCUAUCAGCAGGGAAGAAAAUGACGGUACCUGACUAAGAAGCCCCGGCUAACUACGUGCCAGCCGCCGCGGUAAUAC
Molecule: ribosomal RNA, 516 nt
Filed under: uncultured bacterium
Lineage: Bacteria
Description: bacterial SSU rRNA
Rfam family: Bacterial small subunit ribosomal RNA
Source: RNAcentral